RNAcentral lists this long non-coding RNA (398 nucleotides) under Olea europaea subsp. europaea. Lineage: Eukaryota; Viridiplantae; Streptophyta; Magnoliopsida; Lamiales; Oleaceae. The record is from RNAcentral.
UCCUUGUAAAGCUAUGUCUACACUUGUGCGCUUUCCCUUUCACUUUCAACGUGCCUUUCAACUUUCAACAAAGCGCAUGCCCCAUUGCAUGCCUCUGUUGAAAGCAAAUUUUGUCCACACUGGUUCCUCAUCCACUUGCCACAUUCACGAUGGAUCAGACCGGCGUGAGUAUACGAGUAUUACUGGUUUUUAGUGCAGCUUUCUCGGAGAAACAGACAGAUACGCAAACGCAGAUAAAGCAAGUAAACGCACAAGAAAAAGUAUGAGUUGAAUAGAAAAACCCCCGAAUGGUCUGGAUUUACUUUCAACACAACGCAUGCUAUAGAAUUUGCGUCCUUUCAACUUUCAACAUCGCGCGCGUCAUGAGGCAUGCGUUGUUGAACAGAAAUAGGCACGAG